Molecule: ribosomal RNA, 247 nt
Filed under: uncultured bacterium
Lineage: Bacteria
Description: partial 16S ribosomal RNA
Rfam family: Bacterial small subunit ribosomal RNA
Source: RNAcentral
GGGGGCUAGCGUUGUUCGGACUUACUGGGCGUAAAGCGCACGUAGGCGGCUUUGUAAGUUAGAGGUGAAAGCCCGGGGCUCAACUCCGGAAUUGCCUUUAAGACUGCAUCGCUAGAAUUGUGGAGAGGUAAGUGGAAUUCCGAGUGUAGAGGUGAAAUUCGUAGAUAUUCGGAAGAACACCAGUGGCGAAGGCGACUUACUGGACACAUAUUGACGCUGAGGUGCGAAAGCGUGGGGAGCAAACAGG